UGUAAAGUAAGCUAAUUGUUAAGCUAGUGGGUUCAUACCCCAAAUAUGAUUAUUUUCCUUUAUUA
This 65-nucleotide transfer RNA is filed under the name Alectorobius spheniscus. RNAcentral describes it as "tRNA-Met". Lineage: Eukaryota; Metazoa; Arthropoda; Arachnida; Ixodida; Argasidae. The record is from RNAcentral.